RNAcentral lists this long non-coding RNA (2017 nucleotides) under Populus trichocarpa (black cottonwood). RNAcentral's name for it is "long non-coding RNA (PTRI_LNC000115)". Lineage: Eukaryota; Viridiplantae; Streptophyta; Magnoliopsida; Malpighiales; Salicaceae. The record is from RNAcentral.
UGUACUCUUAAAUCAUUUUUUUAUGUGUACCGUUUAAAUUUGUCCAACCAGUUGAUAUUUAUAGGAUAUGAAGUUAUCACAAUUCUCAAUAUUUAUCAUAUAUAUAUAUAUAUAUAUUUCAGAUUUUGAGGGUGCAAUGGCUCUCAUCAACCCUUCAACAUAUAUAGUUGCAUCUGCAUAUUGGGCUCAAAAUAGAAAAAAGACAACAACAAGAACAAAACUUCUUAUAAAUACAUCAUUCCGAACAACAGUCAAUAGUGUCCCUAGUGGUCCACGAGGAGCAGAAGAAGAAGAAGAAGAAGAAGAAGAAGAAGAUAGAAAUGGAUAUCCAACUACGAGUCUUUGUUGACUUGCGAGCCAAAAACUCCAAAGAAGGGCAAAAGACAGAUUCUUGCAUUGCAUGCAGGUUUUUUUCUUUUCUUUAUUUGCCCUCGGUUAACCGCGUUAGCGUGGGGUUAAGAUUUAAGACCUCACCGGUUAAUGCGCCGGUUGUCGCGGGUAAGUGAGCUGUCAAUUGUUGUUAAGAGAGAAAAGACAGUUAUGCUGUGCAAGUCACGUGCUUCUUCACAGUGGAAAAUCUUCUUCGGCUCUGCUUUCCAGAGACUUGUUAAUCGAUUUAUCUUGGAUACAUGCCAUGUCCUAAUUUAUGGAUUUUCUUACUAUUUUUUAUUUACUUUUCUUGAAUAAGCAGUGUUCUACAGCGAAAAAAGAAAGAAAAAAGAGAGAGACUAGACAGUAAGACAGAAGUGUUGAAUGGGUUACCUGCCUGACCUUAACUAGUUGUUUUUUAUAUUUUAAAAUAAAAUCAUUUUUAAUUUCGAAGUUUAGGUGCUCAUGGGUCUUCUUUUCAAGAACAGGCAUGGCUACGAUUUCUCCACGACUCUUUAACCUAUUUUUAAUUGUUUUUUAUAUUUUAAAAUAAAAUCAUUUUUAAAUAAAUAAUCACAAUGAUAUUUAUAAUAAAAAAUUUGAUUAUUUCAUUUUUUAAAUAAUAUUUGAUCUUUUUAUGAUAAUACUGAUAAUAAUUUUUUAAAUUAUUAUAUACGAACGUGAUAGACAAAUGUUUUUUUUUUUUAAAUUACACAUGGAUAAUCAAUGAGAAUAAUAUAUAUAUAUAAAUUUUUAUUAUGAAUUUUUUAUCUAUUUUUCUCAAAUUAAUUAUUCUUUUAGCUUUUAAUACAAUCAAAUAAAAAAUUUCUUUUAGAUCAUGAUUAUUUUUUUAAAACUUAUAACAAAAAAGACAUGCUUUAAUAAUAAAAAAAGAGAUACAUGAAUAAGGAAAGUUUUUUUUUUAUAUAUUUUUUUCCUCUUUAAUUUAAUUUACUAGAUUUUUCAUGAAUAUUUUUUAAUUACUAUUAGUUUUUAUUUAAUAAAACAUUCUGCUAGUAAAAAAGGACAUUAUUAUACAAAAAAAAUACAUGAAUGAUGAGAAAAUAUAAUUUUGACUAAAACAAUAUAUAUUUCUCCUUAAAAUUUUAAUUAUUGUUUUUUUUCUUAUAUAUAAAUACCUAUUUUAAUUCUCAUAUAAUUAAAUAAAAACAAAAUUUAAAAAGCGUUUCGCGGUGGCGUUGGGGGGGCACCGAGCUAGUUUCAAAUCUAACUAGUGGCAAGAGUUUAAAACAUUAAAAUUCAUUACAGUAAGACUUUAAAGAGGAUUUAUGCGGUCAGCGCUCAAACCUUAUCGCCAAGGCAUUAGUUAGCCACUAGGCAGCUACCUAAGUUAGCAAAUGAAGCUGCAAGAUAGUGGUGCAAUGCGGGAAUUGUGUGCAGAAUAUUGCCAGACCAUCCUAGCAUUUGUUCCAAAAUAUUGCAGGAUGAUUUUCCAGAGUCAGCUCUUGGAUCUUUCUCCUCAAUGAAAACCAGAUAUAUACCCCAUCGUGACUUUUUAUAGCCAGCAAUCGCUUUCCCAGUAUUCCCAAUAUUCUUGAUACUACAAGAAUAUUGAUUCUUUUAGUGCAAAAGAAAAUUAAUUUCCUCAGUAAUGCCUGCACCAUUGUCAAAAGGAAGUAUAUAUAGG